This 1323-nucleotide long non-coding RNA is filed under the name Homo sapiens (human). RNAcentral's name for it is "HSALNT0391672". Lineage: Eukaryota; Metazoa; Chordata; Mammalia; Primates; Hominidae. The record is from RNAcentral.
CCACAGGGCUUAAGCAUCGUCACUAUGUAAAAAAGAGGAGGGAGGGGACUGUGCAGGGUCUUUAGGGUAGGGGGAGAUACGUCUGCAGAAGGGGUGGGGUGGGGGGCGUCUGGCCUAGCAGGCCUUGGGUCCAAGGGGUAUAACACUCUGGGAGUCAAUUUCAGAGCUGUUCUAUACCACAGUGAACACCCAACUCAGAUGUCGGAUGGGUCAUGCUGGGCACACCUGAACAUGCAUUUGUUCAGGUGUUAUAGCCAAGUGCAUAAACAUGCAGACUGUUGGGUCAGACAGACCUGGCUCUAACCCCACGAGCACCACCUACAAGCUGCGUGACUGUGGACAAUGCAAUCAACAUCUCUGUGCCUCAGUUAUUGUAUCUAUUAACUGGGCUCAUAAUGUUUGUUGUUGUUAUAGGAGUUAUUAAGAAAUUAUUUUAGGUAGAUAGGAAAAGGGGUGCUUGGGAAGAUUUUUUUUUCUUUUAAAGCAGCUCCAUAAAUGUUUCUUGUCUAGAAGAAAAGCCCUGGCUCUUAGAGCUGGGCAGGCAAGCUUUGAUAUGCAAAUACAGGCCAUUAGAAACUGCGUCCACCCAAACAUGGAGACUCCCGCCUCUUCUUCUUUUCCCCACGUUCCUGGCAACAUGGCCGCCCCUACAUACACCCAUGUGUGUAGAACAUCAUGGCGCCUGUAUUUGCAUAUUAAAAGGCUAGGGUAGGAAGGCUAGUUUUUUCGUGGGCUACUUGAAUGACAUACCUGGUCAAACCAAUCCCCUGGGCCCUAUGCAAAUCAGGUACCGCCUCCUCCAGCCUCCUCAUAUAACUGGCUGUUUUCCACCGUACUCGAGGUUCCCUCUUUCAGCUUGGAGCCCGCCUCCCUCAGUCUCAGAACAGGGGGAGCCUCUUCCUUCCUUCUUUCUUGUCUAUUAAAUUCUCCACUCCUUAAAACCACUCCACGUGUGCCCAUGUUGUUUUAUUCAAACCAGUGGGAGACCAAGGACCCUAGUGUUCCUCCAGUCAUCAGAGCCAUACCAUUUUGUUGCAUUGGCCGGGAAUCCAAGGUACGACACUCAUCGGAGUGACAAGGUCACCAAUGAUGUGCUGGACAGAUGCCCUGCAUCCAUCAUGCCCCACGGCCACACCCAGGCCUGACCAGGGUCCUGGGCCUCUCCUUGUCCCAUCCCUAGGUACUGCAGAGCCAGGACACCAUUUCAGAUGUGAGAGCUGCCCUGCUCACCUGUGGCAAAGGGACAGAAUGACCAGCCCUAGGCUCAGGCAGGCCUGGUGCUGAGAAAAGGAGGGGCUCACCCGGGAACACGGACACCUCAAC